AAAAAAAGACUGUUCAACACUUGUGAAGUUAUAUUCUUUUUAGAUUCCAUAGUUGCUUAUGAACCAAAUUCCAUAAAUGUAGAGGCAAUAAAAAUAAAGAAUGUUUAGUAAAAACCUUCUAGAUGCAAGCCCUUAUGUGGCCAGGAGUGUAAAUGAACCGAGCCGAACUUUAAAGAGUUCAAGCUUGGUCCAUCAAAAUCUUUUCGAACUCGAGCUGACCUCGUGUCAAACUCGAGCCGACCUCGUGUCAAACUCGAGCCGAAUAUCUAUAAGCUCAAACUUGGCUCAUUUAGAAAACGAGUUAUAAACGAGCCA
Molecule: unclassified non-coding RNA, 315 nt
Filed under: Hevea brasiliensis (rubber tree)
Lineage: Eukaryota; Viridiplantae; Streptophyta; Magnoliopsida; Malpighiales; Euphorbiaceae
Source: RNAcentral